Long non-coding RNA from Daphnia pulex (common water flea), 1096 nucleotides. RefSeq lists it as uncharacterized. The record is from RefSeq and is a predicted model, not a curated record. The transcript is spliced from 3 exons. Lineage: Eukaryota; Metazoa; Arthropoda; Branchiopoda; Diplostraca; Daphniidae.
UUCUUAUUAUUGAUUGCCUAAACAACGGCGUGUUCCGGGGCUAUUGACACAUGUCUCCAACUUUCUGCCUUGACUUUGGAAAAUUAUCAGAACCCCUAGUUUUGUUUUUUUCUUUUUAUUAGGAAACCCAGGUAGAAUGUUGUGUCUAUCAAGUAAAAACCUGACGAGGUUGCCCGUGGUCUUUGUUGAGCUGUUAUUUCACAACGACAAAUUAAUCUGAUAUAUCAAAACUAAUGGCUAAGUUUAAGUCGCAGCACAUCAGCGUUAAUUGAGCAAUGUUGAAAUAUUGCAUUUAAGUAUAGACAAAUGAGACUAAAAUUUCAUAACACAAAGAAACUAGGAGAACAACUUGUUCCUUAUACUCUCCAUCAUUUCCUUUUUGUAUUUAAAAUUACCCAUCGAUUUAAGCCAAUUAACCUGUUUUAAAUUUUUAAUUGCUAUCUGAGUUCUCACCCUGCUGGACGUCUCCCAACUUCGCCAAUCAUGGCGAAAUCUCUUCAGUUGAACUAUCAACUCGUAUUGCAGCGCCGGAAACCUGAGAAUUCAACAAAAUGUUCAAUGCUCUGCCAUCCAUUUUUCUGAUUGUCGUGUUCAUGCUGGCGACCGCGUCUGCUCGCGUGUGGAAUUACGCCGAGGGUAACCAAGUUCGCUGGUCGGGAAAUUGUAAUUUCAGGGGCUACGACUUCCAGAGAGUUUUUGUACCAAACGAUAGGUGUGGAAGGGCGUGUCUCGACAACAGUUUCUGCACUCACUUCACCAACACUCGUACUACCUGUUAUCUAAAGAGAAAUUUGGACGGGUGGAGAGAACAAUUUUCCCGUUACGAAGACUGCGGAUUCAUCCCUGCCCGAACCAAGCAAUCCACUGAACCUCGAGACACUAUUGCUGCUAAUUUAAAAAGAGUUAUUAAUAACAAUCUCGAACAAUUAGCGCUCCCACUUUGUUGUAUGGGAAGAUGAAGGUGCGCUGCACACAUUUUUAUAGCUUAAGAUUUUAUCUUUUUUAAUACCAUGUAGUAUUUAGUUCUUUAUGUUUACUUGCGAGAUUUAUACAAUUUAUGGGGUGAUGAAAAAAAAAUUUCUUAUUCUUUUCUUUA